RNAcentral lists this long non-coding RNA (311 nucleotides) under Gadus morhua (Atlantic cod). RNAcentral's name for it is "lncRNA (ENSGMOG00000024805.1)". Lineage: Eukaryota; Metazoa; Chordata; Actinopteri; Gadiformes; Gadidae. The record is from RNAcentral.
AUGUCCUGUGGCCCAGGGGAUGCUGAGCAGGAUGUGAGGGAUUCAGACAUGAGCUGCAGCCGCCGAACAUCCCGUCCCCAGGCUUCCAGCUUCACCAGGAGGGGUAUCAUCAAUGCAGAACCAUGUGCCAGGAUCCCGUUGUGGGUCCAGACACUGUUAUUGGUCCUGUUUAUGGCAGGAAAUGCAUCAAGUCAAACAACUAUCCCGGAAACAAAUUCGCCAAUUCUCCAAUCAUCAGUAGACGCCACUAACACCAUCACUCCCAAACCAGGAAGUCUUACAAGUUCUAUGUCUGCCGCUCCAACUGAAAC